Molecule: ribosomal RNA, 301 nt
Filed under: uncultured bacterium
Lineage: Bacteria
Description: partial 16S ribosomal RNA
Rfam family: Bacterial small subunit ribosomal RNA
Source: RNAcentral
CAGUCGCCGCGGGAAUGCGUAGGUGGCAAGCGUUGUCCGGAAUUAUUGGGCGUAAAGCGCGCGCAGGCGGAUAGGUCAGUCUGUCUUAAAAGUUCGGGGCUUAACCCCGUGAUGGGAUGGAAACUGCCAAUCUAGAGUAUCGGAGAGGAAAGUGGAAUUCCUAGUGUAGCGGUGAAAUGCGUAGAUAUUAGGAAGAACACCAGUGGCGAAGGCGACUUUCUGGACGAAAACUGACGCUGAGGCGCGAAAGCCAGGGGAGCGAACGGGAUUAGAUACCCCUGUAGUCCCUGUCUCUUAUACA